Lutzomyia longipalpis is the source of this 124-nucleotide non-coding RNA. Lineage: Eukaryota; Metazoa; Arthropoda; Insecta; Diptera; Psychodidae. The record is from Rfam.
CCUUCGAUAGCUCAGUUGGUAGAGCGGUGGACUGUAGAGAGAGAUACCCCAUUGGAAUCCAUCGGAUUCCAUGGGAAAUGCCCCAGAAAUCCAUAGGUCGCUGGUUCAAAUCCGGCUCGAAGGA